This 253-nucleotide ribosomal RNA is filed under the name uncultured bacterium. Its description in RNAcentral is "partial 16S ribosomal RNA". It matches the Rfam family "Bacterial small subunit ribosomal RNA", at positions 524 to 776 of the family's 1533-position model. The record is from RNAcentral.
UACAGAGGUCUCAAGCGUUGUUCGGAUUCAUUGGGCGUAAAGGGUGCGUAGGUGGCGGGGUAAGGCAGGUGUGAAAUCUCGGAGCUCAACUCCGAAACUGCACUUGAUACUGCCUUGCUCGAGUACUGGAGAGGAGAUUGGAAUUUACGGUGUAGCAGUGAAAUGCGUAGAUAUCGUAAGGAAGACCAGUGGCGAAGGCGAAUCUCUGGACAGUUACUGACACUGAGAGACGAAAGCUAGGGGAGCGAAUGGG